Non-coding RNA from Paramuricea clavata, 3585 nucleotides. Lineage: Eukaryota; Metazoa; Cnidaria; Anthozoa; Malacalcyonacea; Plexauridae. The record is from the annotation of a GenBank genome assembly.
GAUGGAAAAUUUGUCGGGUUUUUAAUUACUGUACAAAAUUUCAGACAAUUUGGUUUAGUUUAAGUCCUUUAACUAUUCAUUUUGUUCUAAAAAGUCAGCCUUUCGCAUGCUUAAUUAAUGCAUUUACCUAAUUUGCAUAUUGCUGACAUAUGCAAAUUAGGCAAAUGCAUUAAUUAAGCAUGCAAAUAGCUGAUUUUUAGGAAAAAUGUAACUUUGCGUGAAUAGUUAAGGGCUUAGACUAAACCAAAUUGUCUGAAAUUGUGUACAGUAUUUUCCAUCAUAUGAUUGCCGCUUUAAAAAUUUUGUGCGCGGGCCAUUUUUAGUAUGUUGGAAAAGACACACACCCCCCGGUUCACAAAAUUUGAGUUCGAGAAAUUUUUCUCAUUAUUCUACAUUAUAAGUACCCAAAGAGGCUAUAUAAAUAAAAAACCGGAUACAAAUAGCUGUUUUGCGAAAUUGAGAGCAAUUUUAAAUCUGUUCAGUUUUUUAUGCACCCUGUGGUGUAUUUUAAUUGUAUAUAGUUAUUUCAAAUUCUAAUUCCAGGCUUAUCAGAAUGUCAAUCAUCUUGGAUACAAGUAAGUGCUUCUUCUGCUUCAUACAAUAACUCUUCCAGAAAGUACUCAGUCGUGGCUAUAGUGCCUAGUUUUCAUGAUUUGAUUCACGAUUUCAUGGUUUAGAGCCUUUUACUUUUUUACAAGUGACAUUUUUUACUGCUCAUGCCGUAACAUUAGAUCAUAUAAAAGACCUUAAUAUAAUUAGGUCAUCUGUAACAAGAUAUCUCAAUCAUGAAAACAAGGCUCGAUAGCCAAGGCUAACUAACUACUUUCCGGAAGGGUCUAUUCUGGAAUUUGUGAGAUUAUUUUAAUUGUUCUGAAAUGAUCUGAAAAUAUGCAUGGUGACGAUUGUUAUGAAUCACAUCUUCUUUUUAUCACACCGCGUUGGUUUAUCGCGUGAUAUCCGGAACUUUCAGGAUAAAUCGUUUUCAAGAAUCUUGAGUGCUUGCUUUUUUGUGGCGUAUUAAGCCACGUUUACAUCACAGAGGAAGUAUAUACAGAGAGUUCACUCAAGCCAAAACAAGUCACACGCACGAUCGGCCAUACUGCGCAUGCGUAACUUCCCAGCCAGUACCGUGAAAUUUUUUAUAAGGAAAUAGAUGGGGAAAUCCGAAUUUUUGUCAUAAAAACAGCGAUUUUAACGAAACUAUCCAGGUGACUUGCUGUUUCGUUUUAAUUUCAAGAAAAUGGGUUAGACUGGACAUUUUUAACAACAAAUGGGGCUGCAAACACUACUUGAACGCUGCGAAAAGGGAAAAUUAUACUCGAAGGAGUGAAGUUCGAAACUUGUGUUGACAAGUCAAAAAGAGAUCAAAAAGUUGUUCUACACAAUGUUCUAUACUUCAGUUGUGUCGUUUUUGCGGCAGAAAAGCUCAGCAGUUGUUCAGAAUUGACAUUCCAGUAUAUUUCGUAUCGUAUAAUGUUCAGGUAAGAGCAUAAUUCACUUUUUUCAACGAGAAAAAAAACUAGCAAAAAACAAGUCUCGACCAAAAUGUCUCAGUCUUUGAGAGUUCGAUACGUGUGUUGAUCUGAUUUAAAUUGUGUAUUUUGAUUGUCAGGAUACUAACCCAUUAAGUACAAACUCAACUUGCCAAGCAGAGAGUCUUGCCACUGAAAUAUAUAGGAUAUAGGAUAUCACAAUCUGUGGGCAGACCGCUCCUUCAACUUUCAAAAUCAAAUAAAAGUUUUUCAAAAGCUCAACCGCACUUCUUAUCUGAAUAGAAAAGAUCACUUACUGUUAUUGUUGAAAAAUUUUGUCCAGAUAUGAAGCUCGAAAGCCUCUUUUCCUUAAAAAUGCCACUUUUUGCAUUUCGAACUACGUUUUCCCUAUAGUUUUGACUGAAAACGCAGCGACGGUACUGGCUGCGGCAUAUUAAAUUGUUUUUGGAAUAUUUAAUUUGCUUUUGAUGGCGUGUAAAUGGCGUCAGCUUCGCAAAUCCGUGUGACGUCCUAAACACUGCAUUUUUCACCGAGUGAACUCUCUUUAUAUCUUUACUCCUUGUUUACAUGCUGCGAUUUGUCGUGCACGAUUCGUAUUCUGGCGUAUGAAAUUUACUGCUAACGCCACAAUUCCUCUUCAUUCAGAUUAUGGCGAAAUUUGAAAUGCAACCACUUUACGCGUGCAUGCUUAUUCGAUGACAAACGCAGGAAUACGAAUCGUACACGACAAAUUGCAGCGUGUAAACGUAGCUUACGUAUUGAAUAUAACAUUCUGACUUUAAAAAGUCUUUAGUUUAUACAGUAAUUCUAGUUAACUUGCUAUAGUCUAUAAUUUCUCUACAGUUCAUCCUUUGAAACUUUAAUUGCGGCCUCCAAAUUCCUCCUGUUCUACUGUAUACAUAUAUAUAUACAUAUAUAUAUAUAUAUAUAUAUAUAUAUAUAUAUAUAUAUAUAUAUAUAUAUAUAUAUAUAUAUAUAUAUAUAUAUAUAUAUAUAUAUAUAUAUAUAUAUAUAUAUAUGAAAAUGUUCUAGAGUGUGUAUUAUAUAAUUUCCAUACCCAGCGCAAGCAGAAAGAUGUUGUCUAUAUAUAUAUAUAUAUAUAUAUAUAUAUAUAUAUAUAUAUAUAUAUAUAUAUAUAUAUAUAUAUAUAUAUAUAUAUAUAUAUAUAUAUAUAUAUAUAUAUAUUUGAUGUCCCACAAUCGUGAGGCAUCAAAGGUAACUAUAAAUAAGAGUUACUUUCAUCCUGCUCAUCAGCACUACACUGAUGAGGCCCAUUAGGCCGAAACGGUACCGUCUGUAGUUAUAUAGUUUACGGUUUAUAUAUAUAGUUUAUAUUACAUAUAUAGUUUAUAUAUAUAUAUAUAUAUAUAUAUAUAUAUAUAUAUACAUAUAUACAUAUAUAUAUAUAUAUAUAUAUAUAUAUAUAUAUAUAUAUAUAUAUAUAUAUAUAUAUAUAUAUAUAUAUAUAUAUAUAUAUAUAUAGGCAUAUAUAUGCAUAUAUACAUAUAUAUAUAUAUAUAUAUAUAUAUAUAUAUAUAUAUAUAUAUAUAUAUAUAUAUAUAUAUAUAUAUAUAUAUAUAUAUAUAUAUAUAUAUAUAUAUAUAUAUAUUUAUAAUCAUUAUUCAUACAAAUAUUUUUUAGAGCCAUAGCGAAGAAAGCAGCGAAGCAAACUGGAAAAGAAUGUUUGCAUGAUGUGAACAAAAAGAUGUCAUGAUGCAAACUGUCCAUGAUCAGAUCACGUUCUGCAACUGAAAGCUUCAGUAUAUAAGCGAACAAAACAAACGCUUUUCUAUUUAAAAUUUAUCAAAAGGAACAGAAAUAUCAAACCAUAAGAUAUAUCAAACCUUUUUCCUUGCAUAGCUUAAUUUAAAUUUUAAAUUUACUUUGAAAUUGCAAUUAAAUCUUAGGAUUUUACUUUAAAAUUUAAAUUUUCAAGUCAUCUUAAUGUAUAAUUUCUCACAUUUUAUUCAAUAUUUUGUAAAGUUAUAAUAUUUUGUAGUAUAUUUAUAGCGCAUGUUUUAGAGCGUGAUGUUUUUUCAAGUGUACAACUGGCUCACAUUUUACCAGCAGUGGCAAGCAUUGACCCAUGCAC